AUUGAACGCUGGCGGCAGGCCUAACACAUGCAAGUCGAGCGGAGCGGCGGACGGGUGAGUAUUGCUUAGGAAUCUGCAUGGUAGUGGGGGAGAACGUCCGGAAAUGGGCGCUAAAACCGCAAACUAUCAGCUGAGGCUAGGUCGGAUUAGCUAGUUGGUGGGGUAAAGGCCUACCAAGGCGACGAUCCGUAACUGGUCUGAGAGGAUGAUCAGUAACACUGGAACUGAGACACGGUCCAGACUCCUACGGGAGGCAGCAGUGGGGAAUAUUGGACAAUGGGCGAAAGCCUGAUGCAGCCAUGCCGCGUGUGUGAAGAAGGUCUUCGGAUUGUAAAGCACUUUAAGUUGGGAGGCGUUACCAGCAGAAUAAGCACCGGCUAACUUCGUGCCAGCAGCCGCGGUAAUAC
RNAcentral lists this ribosomal RNA (407 nucleotides) under uncultured bacterium. RNAcentral's name for it is "partial 16S ribosomal RNA". It matches the Rfam family "Bacterial small subunit ribosomal RNA", at positions 30 to 526 of the family's 1533-position model. The record is from RNAcentral.